CCCUUAGACGUUCUGGGCCGCACGCGCGCUACACUGACCAGUGCAACAAGCUUCCGUCCUUGGCCGACAGGCCCGGGCAAUCUUUGAACGCUGGUCGUGAUGGGGAUAGACUUUUGCAAUUUUUGGUCUUCAACGAGGAAUUCCUAGUAAACGCAAGUCAUCAACUUGCAUUGAUUACGUCCCUGCCCUUUGUACACACCGCCCGUCGCACCUACCGAUUGAAUGGUCCGGUGAAGCCUCCGGAUUGGCGCGCACCUCGGUGCCGCCGAGAAGUUGGCUAAACCUUACCAUUUAGAGGAAGGUGAAGUCGUAACA
RNAcentral lists this ribosomal RNA (315 nucleotides) under uncultured eukaryote. Its description in RNAcentral is "partial 18S ribosomal RNA". It matches the Rfam family "Eukaryotic small subunit ribosomal RNA", at positions 1470 to 1796 of the family's 1831-position model. The record is from RNAcentral.